GACGAAGGGGGCUAGCGUUGUUCGGAAUUACUGGGCGUAAAGCGCGUGUAGGCGGUUGUUCAAGUCAGGGGUGAAAGCCUUGAGCUCAACUCAAGAAAUGCACUUGAUACUGGAUGACUAGAGGACCGGAGAGGAUAGUGGAAUUCCCAGUGUAGUGGUGAAAUACGUAGAGAUUGGGAAGAACACCAGUGGCGAAGGCGGCUAUCUGGACGGUUUCUGACGCUAAGACGCGAAAGCGUGGGGAGCAAACAGG
This 253-nucleotide ribosomal RNA is filed under the name uncultured bacterium. Its description in RNAcentral is "partial 16S ribosomal RNA". It matches the Rfam family "Bacterial small subunit ribosomal RNA", at positions 524 to 776 of the family's 1533-position model. The record is from RNAcentral.